UACGGAGGGUGCGAGCGUUGUCCGGAAUCAUUGGGCGUAAAGGGCGCGUAGGUGGCGGGGACAAGCGUGCGGUGAAAGCUCGGGGGCUCAACCCCCGAGUCGGGCCCGUGCGAACUGUUUUUGCUUUGAGCACUGUAGAGGCAGGCGGAAUUCCGGGGUGUAGCGGUGGAAUGCGUAGAGAUCCGGAAGAACACCGGUGGCGAAGGGCGGCCGCUGGGGCAGUGCUGACACUAGGGCGCGACAGCGUGGGGGGGACAAACAGGGAUUAGAAAACCCCCAGGUA
Molecule: ribosomal RNA, 283 nt
Filed under: uncultured bacterium
Lineage: Bacteria
Description: partial 16S ribosomal RNA
Rfam family: Bacterial small subunit ribosomal RNA
Source: RNAcentral